Molecule: long non-coding RNA, 202 nt
Filed under: Capsicum annuum
Lineage: Eukaryota; Viridiplantae; Streptophyta; Magnoliopsida; Solanales; Solanaceae
Description: long non-coding RNA (CANN_LNC012356)
Source: RNAcentral
GUAAAUGUUCACCAUCUCCCACUUCCAAGUGGGAAUUCCAAACUCCUGAAAUGUAAUACUAGGCCUUUGGUGCUCAAUUUUAACAUACUGACAAUUUGGACACUUAGCCACAAACUCCUCAAUAUCCUUCUUCAUACCACUCCACCAAUAAAUUUCCCGCAAAUCACGGUACAUCUUAGUGGCUCAUAGGUAAAUACCGUAC